This 501-nucleotide ribosomal RNA is filed under the name uncultured bacterium. RNAcentral describes it as "bacterial LSU rRNA". It matches the Rfam family "Bacterial large subunit ribosomal RNA", at positions 683 to 1180 of the family's 2925-position model. The record is from RNAcentral.
CUGAUAAGGGCGCCUAGUUGCUGGACGUAGACCCGAAACCAAGUGAUCUAUCCAUGGCCAGGAUGAAGGUGCGGUAACACGCACUGGAGGUCCGAACCCACUAAUGUUGAAAAAUUAGGGGAUGAGCUGUGGAUAGGGGUGAAAGGCUAAACAAACUUGGAAAUAGCUGGUUCUCUCCGAAAACUAUUUAGGUAGUGCCUCAAGUAUCACCGACGGGGGUAAAGCACUGUUAUGGCUAGGGGGUCAUCGCGACUUACCAAACCAUUGCAAACUCAGAAUACCGUUGAGUGCGAGCUUGGGAGACAGACAUCGGGUGCUAACGUCCGGUGUCAAGAGGGAAACAACCCAGACCGCCGAUUAAGGUCCCGAAGCCAUAGUUAAGUGGGGAAACGAGGUGGGAAGGCUUAGACAGCCAGGAGGUUGGCUUAGAAGCAGCCAUCCUUUAAAGAAAGACGUAAUAGCUCACUGGUCGAGUCGUCCUGCGCGGAAGAUGUAACGGGG